AAUAAAAUAAUAAAAUAUUAUUUAUAUAUAAUAAAAUAAUAAUAAAAGAAAUCCUACUAAUAUUUGAACUGAUAUUAAAUAAGUAUACAAUCACACCCCAUUUAAAAAGAAAACCUCUCUUGAAUCACCUCUGCCGUCAACUAAAUCAGGGUUAAAAGCCACCAUUGUUACAACCUCUUGCUACGCACAAAACUUUUCUAAAACAAUCGGGAAAAGCAGAGUCUUUUUAGGCACACAAGUCGAAGUCCUUACAAUCAAAAUCCCUUGUAGCGAUGUUGGAUUACCUGAAGGGAUCGAGAGUGUUCACAUGGUCUCUUCACCCGAAAAUAGACUCAAAUUCUUCUCUUGGGCCCGAAACGUUGCUGCCGAAUCUGGGAUCCCAACUCUUAUAUUCCAUUCCACACGCUAUUCUUUUAAGAGACAAGGAUAAGCAAGAGUUGAUUUCUAGGGAGAAAAAGGAUAGACGUAACUUUGAGGAAAUAUCUGCUUUGGCGAGCAAAGUGGGACUCUAUAGUUAAUCUCUCUAGAUAUCGGUUCAUUGCUUGCUGGUGCCAAGUUUCGAGGGGAUUUUGAGGAAAGGUUGAAAUAGGGGUUCAUUGCUUGAUGGUGCCAAGUUUAGAGGGGAUUGCAACAUCUUUAUUCUCUGUACUAUAUACUAGGAGAAUGCUUUUCACAUCCAUAUAUAAUCAAGCUAAUAAAUUCUUCUUUUCUUGGAUCUGAUUGUCUGAAUGAUACGAGCUGCUAUUUUAUUUUUUAUCUAUUUCUUAUUUAUUA
Long non-coding RNA from Cannabis sativa, 774 nucleotides. RefSeq lists it as uncharacterized. The record is from RefSeq and is a predicted model, not a curated record. NCBI's taxonomy places the organism in Eukaryota, Viridiplantae, Streptophyta, Magnoliopsida, Rosales, Cannabaceae. The transcript has 2 exons.